RNAcentral lists this ribosomal RNA (465 nucleotides) under uncultured bacterium. Its description in RNAcentral is "partial 16S ribosomal RNA". It matches the Rfam family "Bacterial small subunit ribosomal RNA", at positions 338 to 795 of the family's 1533-position model. The record is from RNAcentral.
CCUACGGGGGGCAGCAGUGGGGAAUAUUGCGCAAUGGGCGAAAGCCUGACGCAGCGACGCCGCGUGAGGGAUGAAGGUCUUCGGAUCGUAAACCUCUGUCAGCAGGGAAGAACGGUCACUGUGCUAAUCAGCAGUGAAUUGACGGUACCUGCAAAGGAAGCACCGGGUAACUCCGUGCCAGCAGCCGCGGUGAUACGGAGGUUGCGAGCGUUAAUCGGAAUUACUGGGCGUAAAGGGGUCGUAGGCGGUAUGUCAAGUCAAGGGUGAAAUCCCCGCGCUCAACGUGGGAACUGCCUUUGAAACUGGCAAACUGGAGUGUGUGAGAGGAUAGUGGAAUUCCAGGUGUAGGAGUGAAAUGCGUAGAUAUCUGGAGGAACAUCAGUGGCGAAGGCGACUAUCUGGCACAUAACUGACGCUGAGGAGCGAAAGCGUGGGUAGCAAACAGGAUUAGAUACCCGGGUAGUC